ACACUAGUUGCAGUCUUCUCCUGAACACCGGUGGCGCUAAUGAGCAAAGGCUACUGAUGUUGCUCUUUCUACUGGCUAGAAAAAAAAGAAAAAGGGUAAAUGUGUACAGCAAAGGAAUGACGAGCCUGGGGCCUCUGGGUACAGCACCAUACAGCACCCAAGGGAUCUUCACCACCUUCAUGUAUAAGCUAUGACAUAGCUUGUAAUCCAAGAAGCUAAAACAGUACUCUCUUGUGUGUUUACAUUCAGCGUUAGCACAGUCAAAUUUGUGCACGCACACAUUCUUGGUCAAUUAAUAUGUACAUUCCAGAAAUUUGGCAAAAGAAAAUGCGAAUGAAGUAUGAAAAACAUGAUGGAAAUAUGGCAUUUAUGUCUGUUUUAUGUAAUAUUUGAGGAACGUUACAGGCAUCAGUGUGAACAUGA
Perca flavescens (yellow perch) is the source of this 423-nucleotide long non-coding RNA. RefSeq lists it as uncharacterized. The transcript is spliced from 2 exons. The record is from RefSeq and is a predicted model, not a curated record. NCBI's taxonomy places the organism in Eukaryota, Metazoa, Chordata, Actinopteri, Perciformes, Percidae.